This 313-nucleotide ribosomal RNA is filed under the name uncultured bacterium. RNAcentral describes it as "bacterial SSU rRNA". It matches the Rfam family "Bacterial small subunit ribosomal RNA", at positions 28 to 334 of the family's 1533-position model. The record is from RNAcentral.
GAUGAACGCUGGCGGCGUGCCUAACACAUGCAAGUCGAACGGACUCAUAUUGAAACCUAGUGAUUUAUGAGUUAGUGGCGGACGGGUGAGUAACGCGUGGAUAACCUGCCGUAUACCGGGGGAUAACACUUAGAAAUAGGUGCUAAUACCGCAUAAGCGCACGGCUCCGCAUGGGGCAGUGUGAAAAACUCCGGUGGUAUACGAUGGAUCCGCGUCUGAUUAGCUAGUUGGCGGGGUAACGGCCCACCAAGGCAGCGAUCAGUAGCCGGCCUGAGAGGGUGGACGGCCACAUUGGGACUGAGACACGGCCCAA